UACGAAGGGGGCUAGCGUUGCUCGGAAUCACUGGGCGUAAAGGGUGCGUAGGCGGAUCUUUUAAGUCAGGGGUGAAAUCCUGGAGCUCAACUCCAGAACUGCCUUUGAUACUGAGGAUCUCGAGUUCGGGAGAGGUGAGUGGAACUGCGAGUGUAGAGGUGAAAUUCGUAGAUAUUCGCAAGAACACCAGUGGCGAAGGCGGCUCACUGGCCCGAUACUGACGCUGAGGCACGAAAGCGUGGGGAGCAAACAGGG
This 255-nucleotide ribosomal RNA is filed under the name uncultured bacterium. Its description in RNAcentral is "partial 16S ribosomal RNA". It matches the Rfam family "Bacterial small subunit ribosomal RNA", at positions 524 to 777 of the family's 1533-position model. The record is from RNAcentral.